UCAAACAAGUCGCCGCCACACGCCUCUAUCGAUCAUCCAUCUUAACCAGUUUUGUCGUUCAAAACUUUAAGCAUCGAUCUCAUCUUCUAAAUAUCACUACUCUGAUCUUUUCAUGAUUUAUUAGUGUUUGCCCAAUAUGAUAAAUGUUUUAGUGAAUUGUCGGUUCUUCUCGUCAUUCUUAGCAUCCUCCUUUUGUUGGUAGAAUCAUUGUAAACAAUGAAGAAUAUGCUCCAAAAAGAUCAAGAUCAUAGGGCAGAGACUCGGAUGUCUUUUAAUCUUCAAGGCCUUUGGAGACAGCCUCGAGGGCCUCUUGUCCAUUACUAACUGGAGAGUUCGAAGGAUGCCCCGAGUGCAGAAAGAGCCGCAUUAGCUAUUUUUUGUAGCACUUCGCCAUCCCCCACUACCAACACUUUCUUCCCAGCUAAAGGCUUAUCGACUUCUUUAAUCUCUGAUUUUGGAAGUGUAAGAGAACUGGUUGAAGAAGGUGAUGUGAUUAGGCCACCCGAUCCGAUUAGGCUACCCUCGGAUGUAUAAUUUGGUGGAUAGGUCUCUGACAUUUCUGUAGGCCUUUCUCCUCCAUACUCAGGUAGAAGCUUUAGUACCUGAUACAAUCGUGAUCCAUCGAGGGGCUUGAAAAGAAUGAAUCAGUGCAUGUACGAAGAUAAGUACAAGAUAGAAAUUUUCCCGACUUCAUUGUGGAUUCUACUAGUGGCUUACGGUAUUGCUUCAAAAAAUGUAAACUAUUUUGCGGUAUCCAAAUAAACAAUGUUUGCUAAUUUUAUA
Daucus carota subsp. sativus is the source of this 783-nucleotide long non-coding RNA. RefSeq lists it as uncharacterized. The record is from RefSeq and is a predicted model, not a curated record. Lineage: Eukaryota; Viridiplantae; Streptophyta; Magnoliopsida; Apiales; Apiaceae. The transcript has 2 exons.